GACGAACGCUGGCGGCGUGCUUAACACAUGCAAGUCGAACGGAAAGGCCUCUUUCGGGGGGUACUCGAGUGGCGAACGGGUGAGUAACACGUGAGUAACCUGCCCUUGACUUUGGGAUAACUUCAGGAAACUGGGGCUAAUACCGGAUAGGAGCUCCUGCUGCAUGGUGGGGGUUGGAAAGUUUCGGCGGUUGGGGAUGGACUCGCGGCUUAUCAGCUUGUUGGUGGGGUAGUGGCUUACCAAGGCUUUGACGGGUAGCCGGCCUGAGAGGGUGACCGGCCACAUUGGGACUGAGAUACGGCCCAGACUCCUACGGGGGGCAGCAGUGGGGAAUAUUGCACAAGGGGUGGAAGCCUGAUGCAGCAACGCCGUGGGCGGGAGGACGGCCUUCGGGUUGUAAACCGCUUUCGCUCAUGACGAAGCUUUGUGUGACGGUAGUGGGUAAAGAAGCACCGGCUAACUACGUG
This 467-nucleotide ribosomal RNA is filed under the name uncultured bacterium. RNAcentral's name for it is "partial 16S ribosomal RNA". It matches the Rfam family "Bacterial small subunit ribosomal RNA", at positions 28 to 507 of the family's 1533-position model. The record is from RNAcentral.